Molecule: ribosomal RNA, 461 nt
Filed under: uncultured bacterium
Lineage: Bacteria
Description: bacterial SSU rRNA
Rfam family: Bacterial small subunit ribosomal RNA
Source: RNAcentral
GACGAACGCUGGCGGCGUGCUUAACACAUGCAAGUCGAGCGAUGAAGCUCCUUCGGGAGUAGAUUAGCGGCGGACGGGUGAGUAACACGUGGGUAACCUGCCUCAUAGAGGGGAAUAGCCUUCCGAAAGGAAGAUUAAUACCGCAUAAGAUUGUAAUACCGCAUGGUAUAGCAAUUAAAGGAGUAAUCCGCUAUGAGAUGGACCCGCGUCGCAUUAGCUAGUUGGUGAGGUAACGGCUCACCAAGGCGACGAUGCGUAGCCGACCUGAGAGGGUGAUCGGCCACAUUGGAACUGAGACACGGUCCAGACUCCUACGGGAGGCAGCAGUGGGGAAUAUUGCGCAAUGGGGGAAACCCUGACGCAGCAACGCCGCGUGAGUGAUGAAGGCCUUCGGGUUGUAAACUCUGUCUUUAGGGACGAAAAUGACGGUACCUAAGGAGGAAGCCACGGCUAACUACGUG